AACGCACAUUGCGCCCACUGGUAUUCCGGUGGGCAUGCCUGUUCGAGCGUCAUUAUCCUCCCUCAAACCCCGGUUUGGUGUUGGACCCACGUUGUGAGUGAACAACUGGUCCCAAAGACAAUGACGGCGUCCGUGGGACCCUCGGUGCAACGAGCUUUCCGGAGCACGCGUCGAGCUUCAAGGUUCUUCCGGGCCGGUCUCCUUCUAUUUUACUUCUAAGGUUGACCUCGGAUCAGGUAGGAAUACCCGCUGAACUUAA
This 259-nucleotide unclassified non-coding RNA is filed under the name uncultured fungus. RNAcentral's name for it is "partial contains 5.8S ribosomal RNA, internal transcribed spacer 2, and large subunit ribosomal RNA". The stretch from base 1 to 52 matches the Rfam family "5.8S ribosomal RNA", at positions 103 to 154 of the family's 154-position model. Lineage: Eukaryota; Fungi. The record is from RNAcentral.